CAGGUCGAGGGACGAAAGUCGGGACUAGUGAUCCGGCAGUGGCUUGUGGAAGCGCUGUCGCUCAACGGAUAAAAGGUACCUCGGGGAUAACAGGCUGAUCUUGCCCAAGAGUCCAUAUCGACGGCAUGGUUUGGCACCUCGAUGUCGGCUCGUCGCAUCCUGGGGCUGGAGUAGGUCCCAAGGGUUGGGCUGUUCGCCCAUUAAAGCGGUACGCGAGCUGGGUUUAGACGUCGUGAGACAGUUCGGUCCCUAUCCGCUGCGCGCGUAGGAAGUUUGAGAGGAUCUGACCCUAGUACGAGAGGACCGGGUUGGACGAACCUCUGGUGUGUCAGUUGUUCCGCCAGGAGCACCGCUGAUUAGCUACGUUCGGGAUGGAUAACCGCUGAAAGCAUCUAAGCGGGAAGCCGGCCUCAAGAUGAGACUUCCAUACCCUUCGGGGUGAGAGGCUCCCAGCCAGACUACUGGGUUGAUAGGCCGGAUGUGGAAGCGUAGUAAUACGUGAAGCUGACCGGUACUAAUAAGCCGAUGACUUGAUAACACACC
This 543-nucleotide ribosomal RNA is filed under the name Microbacterium sp. SUBG005. RNAcentral's name for it is "bacterial LSU rRNA". It matches the Rfam family "Bacterial large subunit ribosomal RNA", at positions 2385 to 2925 of the family's 2925-position model. Lineage: Bacteria; Bacillati; Actinomycetota; Actinomycetes; Micrococcales; Microbacteriaceae. The record is from RNAcentral.